ACAGGCUGGUGGCGCACUUUUCCCUGAACGGGCGAAGGAUGGAUGCACGCAACCAGCGAAAUGCAGAUACCCGGCCCGCACCAGCGGGCUUUUUUUU
Molecule: regulatory RNA element, 97 nt
Organism: Erwinia mallotivora
Lineage: Bacteria; Pseudomonadati; Pseudomonadota; Gammaproteobacteria; Enterobacterales; Erwiniaceae
Rfam family: Tryptophan operon leader
About the family: At least 6 amino acid operons are known to be regulated by attenuation. In each a leader sequence of 150-200 bp is found upstream of the first gene in the operon.
Source: Rfam